Molecule: transfer RNA, 86 nt
Filed under: bacterium
Lineage: Bacteria
Description: tRNA-Leu
Rfam family: tRNA
About the family: Transfer RNA (tRNA) molecules are approximately 80 nucleotides in length. Their secondary structure includes four short double-helical elements and three loops (D, anti-codon, and T loops).
Source: RNAcentral
GCCGCGGUGGCGGAAUUGGCAUUACGCGCAGCACUUAAAAUGCUGUGGAGGAAUACUCCAUGUGGGUUCGAGUCCCACCCGCGGCA